AGAGUAUGAACGAUUAGUCUAUUAAAAUCUUUGUUUAUUAUAAAUAAUAAUUUGGGGCUAGGGUAAAAACGCCUUAAUUUUUUAAAAAGACGAUAAGACCCUAAAAGCUUUAUUUUUAUUUUAUAUGUUUAAUUUUAUAUAUAGUCUUCAUAAAAGUGUAAUUUUUAACUGGGGUAGUUUUAUUAUUUAAAUUAUUUAAGAUAGUGCUUUUGGCUAAAAGAACCUUAAAAUCAGGGUGUUGUUUAAGUUACUUUAGGGAUAACAGCGUAAUAAUUUUGGAGAGAACAUAUCUAUAAGAUUGAUUGCGACCUCGAUGUUGAAUUAAUAAAUUCCUAUUAAAGCAGUUUUUAAUAAAG
This 356-nucleotide ribosomal RNA is filed under the name Ericthonius pugnax. RNAcentral's name for it is "partial large subunit ribosomal RNA". Lineage: Eukaryota; Metazoa; Arthropoda; Malacostraca; Amphipoda; Ischyroceridae. The record is from RNAcentral.